RNAcentral lists this ribosomal RNA (253 nucleotides) under uncultured bacterium. RNAcentral describes it as "partial 16S ribosomal RNA". It matches the Rfam family "Bacterial small subunit ribosomal RNA", at positions 524 to 776 of the family's 1533-position model. The record is from RNAcentral.
GACGGAGGGUGCAAGCGUUAUCCGGAAUUAUUGGGUGUAAAGUGUCCUAAGGUGGUUUUUUAAGUCGGAUGUCAAAGCCUGAAGCUCAACUUCAGUCAGGUAUUCGAUACUGGAAAACUUGAGAUCUCGAGAGGCAAGUGGAAUUUUGUGUGUAGGGGUAAAAUCCGUUGAUACACAAAGGAACACCAAAAGCGCAAGCAGCUUGCUGGCGAGUUUCUGACACUUAUGGACGAAAGCGUGGGGAGCGAAAAGG